Molecule: ribosomal RNA, 918 nt
Filed under: uncultured bacterium
Lineage: Bacteria
Description: bacterial SSU rRNA
Rfam family: Bacterial small subunit ribosomal RNA
Source: RNAcentral
ACGCUAGCUACAGGCUUAACACAUGCAAGUCGAGGGGAAACGGCAUUUAGUGCUUGCACCGAAUGGACGUCGACCGGCGCACGGGUGAGUAACGCGUAUCCAACCUGCCCAUUACUGUGGGAUAACCUGCCGAAAGGCAGACUAAUACCGCAUAGUCUUCGAUGACGGCAUCAGAUUUGAAGUAAAGAUUUAUCGGUAAUGGAUGGGGAUGCGUCUGAUUAGCUUGUUGGCGGGGUAACGGCCCACCAAGGCGACGAUCAGUAGGGGUUCUGAGAGGAAGGUCCCCCACAUUGGAACUGAGACACGGUCCAAACUCCUACGGGAGGCAGCAGUGAGGAAUAUUGGUCAAUGGGCGCGAGCCUGAACCAGCCAAGUAGCGUGCGGGAUGACGGCCCUAUGGGUUGUAAACUGCUUUUGUAUGGGGAUAAAGUCAAUCACGUGUGAUUGUUUGCAGGUACCAUACGAAUAAGGACCGGCUAAUUCCGUGCCAGCAGCCGCGGUAAUACGGAAGGUCCGGGCGUUAUCCGGAUUUAUUGGGUUUAAAGGGAGGGUAGGCCGGAGAUUAAGUGUGUUGUGAAAUGUAGACGCUCAACGUCUGACUUGCAGCGCAUACUGGUUUCCUUGAGUACGCACAACGUUGGCGGAAUUCGUCGUGUAGCGGUGAAAUGCUUAGAUAUGACGAAGAACUCCGAUUGCGAAGGCAGCUGACGGGAGCGCAACUGACGCUUAAGCUCGAAGGUGCGGGUAUCGAACAGGAUUAGAUACCCUGGUAGUCCGCACAGUAAACGAUGGAUGCCCGCUGUUGGUACCUGGUAUCAGCGGCUAAGCGAAAGCAUUAAGCAUCCCACCUGGGGAGUACGCCGGCAACGGUGAAACUCAAAGGAAUUGACGGGGGCCCGCACAAGCGGAGGAACAUGU